Pan troglodytes (chimpanzee) is the source of this 1003-nucleotide RNA transcript. It is a transcript of the gene named collagen alpha-1(I) chain-like, with no coding region annotated. Lineage: Eukaryota; Metazoa; Chordata; Mammalia; Primates; Hominidae. The transcript has 3 exons. The record is from RefSeq and is a predicted model, not a curated record.
CACAACGUUUUUUGACUCUUCGCCUCCCCCGUUUCGAUCCCCCUUCCUCUCCGCCUUAGGUGGCAGGAAAAUCCUUUACCUCCGACCAAUCCCACCGAUGCCGAGCCGCGCGCGCGCGCCAACUAGAGCUCCGUCUGUGCACGCCAUUGGCCACCUCCACCUAUGCGAGAUGACAGGCAGCUUCGCGGACCUAUCGCCGAGGGAGGCAGAGGCCUCCGGCCCUCCCAAAGCUGCUUUGUUAGGGGCUCCCUGGUCGUCCCCCGGCCCGCCGCGCCUCCGCUGCCUGCGGGCGAUCUCCCCGGGCCGCGCUGCCGGAGCCUCGCAGGAAGGCAUCUCUGGAGCGCGCGCCGCCCGCGCCCCUCCAGCCGCGCGCUCCGAGCCUGGCUGCGGCGCGGAUACCCGGCGUGCGCCCGUAGUCGCUCACCAGCCCAACUCCGAACGCCCCGCUCCUGCAUCCACCGCCUCGGAUUGGCUGGUCGGAGGCGGAGCGAUUGUCAGGCGGCCCAAUCGGAGCUCGGUUUCCCACGGGCUCCCGCGGCCCGGCCCCCGAGGCCGCAGGCGGAGGCGCCCUGACAGCGCCGAUUGGCAGACCACGAGCGGGUUCGAGCGCGGCCGGCAGAGCAGCGCCGCCGCGGUCGGGCGCGCAGCUCUGCAGCUCCGCGAACGCCUUGGCGCCCGCAGCCCCAGGGGCACGGCUGUCCCGCAUCGUGCCUGGCCCCGUCGCGGAGAUCCCGGACGACCGUCGCGGGUUGAUGGUCGCAUUCCAGAUGUAAACAGCUUCAGAAGCCUGACGGUCAUAUGGUGAGCAGUUUACGCUUUCAUAUACGCCUGUCAUGUGCUUUGAAGGACUUUCUAGGGGCAUCAAGGGUAGAAUCACUGUGGAUUGAGACCCACCUUUCUAGACCUGAAGCCCAGGAGGAGGAAGAGGAGGCUGGUUGGUACCAUGGGCAUAAUGCUCUGAAUCCUAGUCUCUCACCUAGUAUGUGAGCAGUCCCUGCAGAUG